ACUCUCCCCGGGCUCUGUCCUAGUGGCGUACGGGAGCAUAGGGCACUGCCCAAUGAUGUACAGUCCCUUUCCACAACGUUGGAGAUGAAGCUGGGCUUCGAGUCUGCGCCUGCAUAUUCCUACGACUUCUCAGAGUCCUGUGGACCAUGACUGAGGAGAC
This 160-nucleotide small nucleolar RNA is filed under the name Rattus norvegicus (Norway rat). Its description in RNAcentral is "partial E1 small nucleolar RNA". It matches the Rfam family "Small nucleolar RNA SNORA73 family", at positions 23 to 199 of the family's 219-position model. From Rfam's summary of the family: U17 (SNORA73A and SNORA73B) also known as E1 belongs to the H/ACA class of small nucleolar RNAs (snoRNAs). Vertebrate U17 is intron-encoded and ranges in length from 200-230 nucleotides, longer than most snoRNAs. It is one of the most abundant snoRNAs in human cells and is essential for the cleavage of pre-rRNA within the 5' external transcribed spacer (ETS). Lineage: Eukaryota; Metazoa; Chordata; Mammalia; Rodentia; Muridae. The record is from RNAcentral.